This is a non-coding RNA of Leptonychotes weddellii (Weddell seal), 906 nucleotides long. The record is from RefSeq and is a predicted model, not a curated record. Lineage: Eukaryota; Metazoa; Chordata; Mammalia; Carnivora; Phocidae.
CGUAUACUGGGGCCACAUCCCGCCGCUCUUCCGGCCUGUGCGCGUGCGCAACGGGCUUGGCACCACUGGCGAGGUCCGGCGACUUUUCGGUUAGCCCGUGGGUGGUGCGCGCGGCGCAGGGAGAGGAACUUCAGGAAGAAACGGCCCACGUAGAAUAAGGAAUACGCCCAGGGGAGGGGCCGUGGUCGCCCGCGAGCGCUGGCCUUUUCCGGGAAGGCUUGGAGGAAGUGCAUGCACCUGCUCGGCGUGGCCUGGGAGCUCGCCAGAGUCCAGCCUCUGCCCCGGAGUCCUAGGGACGCGUUUGGGUGGCCGGACAGGGCCCCGAGCGCCCAGCACCGGCCUGGCCUACUAACGCCUGCCCUUCAUAGAGCUGCGGGGAAAUUGUCGUUUUUUGAUUGAUCAGUUUCUGAUGCGGCUGGCCUGAUGUUAAGUUUCGUCAUGGAGGACACUGGAACGCAUUGCAGCGAGAAGGGGUUCUCCUUCCAGGCUGCAGGUGCUCCUCCCCGGGGGGUUCAUGCCAGCCCCACUCCCGCCGGGCUGCAGCUUCUCUGGCCCCCACUCCGGUAGCUCAGGACAGCUAGCAGCACCCGCCCAGGCAGUUUGGUGGCAGAAUGUCUCCAGCGGGACACCUCCCCGUGAAGAACUUGCCCCCUGCACACUGGAGGGCAGACCAAGGGAUUUCUUGGCCAUUCGGUGAGCCGCAGCUGUGCCCUCUCCAACACGGUCUGAAUCUCAGCUGGGCAGGGAAGGGGGACAGGAUCUCUUCCCUUGAAAACUCCACUUCAGCUCUACCAAUAUCAGCCCUACCCAUCCCUAUACUCUUUAGAGUUCUGUUUACCUCCUUCUAGCCUAUGUCUUGUUAUAGUUAAUAAUUUGAUAUAUUAAACUUACCCUGUUCAAAUUUUU